RNAcentral lists this ribosomal RNA (454 nucleotides) under uncultured bacterium. Its description in RNAcentral is "bacterial SSU rRNA". It matches the Rfam family "Bacterial small subunit ribosomal RNA", at positions 338 to 784 of the family's 1533-position model. The record is from RNAcentral.
CCUACGGGGUGCAGCAGUGGGGAAUAUUGGACAAUGGGCGCAAGCCUGAUCCAGCCGUGCCGCGUGUGUGAAGAAGGCCCUAGGGUUGUAAAGCACUCUCAGUGGGGAGAAAAGUGAUUCACCUAAUACGUGAGUCAAUUGAUGUUACCCACAGAAGAAGCACCGGCUAACUCCGUGCCAGCAGCCGCGGUAAUACGGAGGGUGCAAGCGUUAAUCGGAAUUACUGGGCGUAAAGCGCACGUAGGUGGUUUGUUAAGCUAGCUGUGAAAUCCCCGGGCUCAACCUGGGCACUGCAGUUAGAACUGGCAAGCUAGAGUAGGGUAGAGGGGUGUGGAAUUCCAGGUGUAGCGGUGAAAUGCGUAGAUAUCUGGAGGAACAUCAGUGGCGAAGGCGACACCCUGGACUCAUACUGACACUGAGGUGCGAGAGCGUGGGGAGCAAACAGGAUUAGAUA